RNAcentral lists this ribosomal RNA (1527 nucleotides) under Salmonella enterica. RNAcentral describes it as "partial 23S ribosomal RNA". It matches the Rfam family "Bacterial large subunit ribosomal RNA", at positions 1292 to 2802 of the family's 2925-position model. RNAcentral also lists the same sequence under 5 other names. The record is from RNAcentral. Lineage: Bacteria; Pseudomonadati; Pseudomonadota; Gammaproteobacteria; Enterobacterales; Enterobacteriaceae.
GAAUGCUGACAUAAGUAACGAUAAAGCGGGUGAAAAGCCCGCUCGCCGGAAGACCAAGGGUUCCUGUCCAACGUUAAUCGGGGCAGGGUGAGUCGACCCCUAAGGCGAGGCCGAAAGGCGUAGUCGAUGGGAAACGGGUUAAUAUUCCCGUACUUGGUGUUACUGCGAAGGGGGGACGGAGAAGGCUAUGUUGGCCGGGCGACGGUUGUCCCGGUUUAAGCGUGUAGGUGUGUGUUCCAGGUAAAUCCGGUUCACUUUAACACUGAGGCGUGACGACGAGGCACUACGGUGCUGAAGCAACAAAUGCCCUGCUUCCAGGAAAAGCCUCUAAGCAUCAGGUAACACGAAAUCGUACCCCAAACCGACACAGGUGGUCAGGUAGAGAAUACCAAGGCGCUUGAGAGAACUCGGGUGAAGGAACUAGGCAAAAUGGUGCCGUAACUUCGGGAGAAGGCACGCUGACACGUAGGUGAAGUGAUUUACUCAUGGAGCUGAAGUCAGUCGAAGAUACCAGCUGGCUGCAACUGUUUAUUAAAAACACAGCACUGUGCAAACACGAAAGUGGACGUAUACGGUGUGACGCCUGCCCGGUGCCGGAAGGUUAAUUGAUGGGGUCAGCGCAAGCGAAGCUCCUGAUCGAAGCCCCGGUAAACGGCGGCCGUAACUAUAACGGUCCUAAGGUAGCGAAAUUCCUUGUCGGGUAAGUUCCGACCUGCACGAAUGGCGUAAUGAUGGCCAGGCUGUCUCCACCCGAGACUCAGUGAAAUUGAACUCGCUGUGAAGAUGCAGUGUACCCGCGGCAAGACGGAAAGACCCCGUGAACCUUUACUAUAGCUUGACACUGAACAUUGAGCCUUGAUGUGUAGGAUAGGUGGGAGGCUUUGAAGUGUGGACGCCAGUCUGCAUGGAGCCGACCUUGAAAUACCACCCUUUAAUGUUUGAUGUUCUAACGUGGACCCGUAAUCCGGGUUGCGGACAGUGUCUGGUGGGUAGUUUGACUGGGGCGGUCUCCUCCUAAAGAGUAACGGAGGAGCACGAAGGUUGGCUAAUCCUGGUCGGACAUCAGGAGGUUAGUGCAAUGGCAUAAGCCAGCUUGACUGCGAGCGUGACGGCGCGAGCAGGUGCGAAAGCAGGUCAUAGUGAUCCGGUGGUUCUGAAUGGAAGGGCCAUCGCUCAACGGAUAAAAGGUACUCCGGGGAUAACAGGCUGAUACCGCCCAAGAGUUCAUAUCGACGGCGGUGUUUGGCACCUCGAUGUCGGCUCAUCACAUCCUGGGGCUGAAGUAGGUCCCAAGGGUAUGGCUGUUCGCCAUUUAAAGUGGUACGCGAGCUGGGUUUAGAACGUCGUGAGACAGUUCGGUCCCUAUCUGCCGUGGGCGCUGGAGAACUGAGGGGGGCUGCUCCUAGUACGAGAGGACCGGAGUGGACGCAUCACUGGUGUUCGGGUUGUCAUGCCAAUGGCACUGCCCGGUAGCUAAAUGCGGAAGAGAUAAGUGCUGAAAGCAUCUAAGCACGAAACUUGCCCCGA